AGUAGGGAAUAUUGCACAAUGGGCGAAAGCCUGAUGCAGCAACGCCGCGUGCGCGAAGAAGGCCUUCGGGUUGUAAAGCGCUUUUCGGGGAGAAGAGAAAGGACGGUAUCCCCGGAAUAAGGAUCGGCUAACUACGUGCCAGCAGCCGCGGUAAAACGUAGGAUCCGAGCGUUAUCCGAAUUCACUGGGCGUAAAGCGCGUGUAGGCGGUUCGGUAAGUUGGAUGUGAAAGCUCCCGGCUCAACUGGGAGAGGACGUUCAAAACUGUUGGACUAGAGGGCGGAAGAGGGAGGUGGAAUUCCCGGUGUAGUGGUGAAAUGCGUAGAUAUCGGGAGGAACACCAGUGGCGAAGGCGGCCUCCUGGGCCGCACCUGACGCUCAGACGCGAAAGCUAGGGUAGCAAACGGGAUUAGAAACCCCGGUAGUCCUAGCUGUAAACGAUGUAGACUUGGUGUUGGUGGGGUAAAAGCCAUCAGUGCCGGAGCAAACGCGAUAAGUCUACCGCCUGGGGACUACGACCGCAAGGUUAAAACUCAAAGGAAUUGACGGGGACCCGCACAAGCAGCGGAGCGUGUGGUUUAAUUCGAUGCAACGCGAAGAACCUUACCCGGGCUUGACAUGCGAGUGGUAGGGAAGUGAAAGCGGACCGACCCUUCGGGGAGUUCGCACAGGUGCUGCAUGGCUGUCGUCAGCUCGUGCCGUGAGGUGUCCGGUUAAGUCCGGUAACGAGCGCAACCCUUGCUGUAUGUUACAAGUGUCAUACGGGACUGCCGGUAUAAAGCCGGAGGAAGGUGGGGAUGACGUCAAGUCAGCAUGGCCUUUAUGUCCGGGGCUACACACACGCUACAAUGGUCAGUACAAUAGGUUGCAAAACUGCGAAGUGGAGCCAAUCCCUAAAGCUGGCCACAGUUCAGAUUGCAGGCUGCAACUCGCCUGCAUGAAGUCGGAGUUGCUAGUAACCGCGCGUCAGCAACAGUGCGGUGAAUACGUUCCCGGGUCUUGUACACACCGCCCGUCACGUCAUGGAAGCUGGCAACACCUGAAACCGGUAUCCUAACCGCAAGGAAGGAACCGUCAAAGGUGGGGCUGGUGACUGGGACG
Molecule: ribosomal RNA, 1100 nt
Filed under: uncultured bacterium
Lineage: Bacteria
Description: bacterial SSU rRNA
Rfam family: Bacterial small subunit ribosomal RNA
Source: RNAcentral